RNAcentral lists this ribosomal RNA (247 nucleotides) under uncultured Mycobacterium sp. Its description in RNAcentral is "partial 16S ribosomal RNA". It matches the Rfam family "Bacterial small subunit ribosomal RNA", at positions 527 to 773 of the family's 1533-position model. The record is from RNAcentral. Lineage: Bacteria; Bacillati; Actinomycetota; Actinomycetes; Mycobacteriales; Mycobacteriaceae.
GUAGGGUGCGAGCGUUGUCCGGAAUUACUGGGCGUAAAGAGCUCGUAGGUGGUUUGUCGCGUUGUUCGUGAAAACUCACAGCUUAACUGUGGGCGUGCGGGCGAUACGGGCAGACUGGAGUACUGCAGGGGAGACUGGAAUUCCUGGUGUAGCGGUGGAAUGCGCAGAUAUCAGGAGGAACACCGGUGGCGAAGGCGGGUCUCUGGGCAGUAACUGACGCUGAGGAGCGAAAGCGUGGGGAGCGAAC